This 410-nucleotide long non-coding RNA is filed under the name Manihot esculenta (cassava). RNAcentral's name for it is "long non-coding RNA (MESC_LNC011216)". The record is from RNAcentral. Lineage: Eukaryota; Viridiplantae; Streptophyta; Magnoliopsida; Malpighiales; Euphorbiaceae.
GUAUUUUGCCUAGUUCAGUUUUAUACUAAAAAACUCCUUAUGAAAUUCUGCAUAAAAAAACCAGAAUACUCACAUUUUAGAACUUUUGAUUGUCUAUAUUUUAAAAUAGACACACAACCACACAAAUCCAAGUUUGAAGAAUAAAGAGCUUUUAAGAGUAUUUAUUUGGGUUUUGUUCCUGGAUUCAAAUCUUUAAAUUGUAUAGUUUGAAAACCAAAAAAAAAAAAAAGUUUCAAAAGAUGUUAUCUUUCAUGAAAACACCUUUUCAUAUUAUACAUAGGUCACUAACUCACCUAAGGUUGUAGUGCCAUUACCUAUUUCAAACCCAAAAUCUGACUAUAACCCACUAGAAACACAAAUCUUUUCUACCCAUUCACCUCAUAUAACCCCAUCUAUUCAUUCACCCGAAC